UCCNNNNNNNNNNGCCGGAACACAAAAGGGAAUCUGCAAGCCAUGCUAAUUGUCAGGAACUCAGCCCAGGCUGGCGAUUUCAUUUUCGUUUCUUAAUUCAGACCUUAAAGAGGACCUUAAAGCACGUGACAGAUACAAUCACAGAGAGAAAAGACCGCGUUUUGCUUUUUCCUCGUCGAAUGCCUCCUGGAGAACAAGAGGCUGCAAGAACCCGGAAUUGGACGGAUGGCUCAUUGAGGACUGAUCACCAACGAGCACAUAAAACACCAGACCCGCUUACGAUUCCUCGUUGCACACAAUAAACAAAGCAGAUUCUCUAGACCACAAGGAAGGACUCAGAAGGACAACGAACAGAAUUCUGGCAUCCUCCUGUAGCAGCAGCAGCAUUUUAGGAUCAGUGAAUGUGUUCGGCUUAGAACCUGAUCAGGUCAAAGUACCGGUGAAAGACGGAAAGGUCUGUGUGUCAGCUGAGAGGGAGAACAGGUACGACUGCCUUGGAUCCAAAAAGUACAGUUACAGGAACAUCUGCAAAGAGUCCAGCUUGCAGCCGUGUGUGGACGAGAAAGAAGUGAAAGAAAGAAGUGACCCACUCCUACAGCUCGGCAGCUGUGUCAAGAUCGAAUCUCCAUGCUACCCUUGCACUUCUCCCUGACACCCCUGCAUCCCCUGGGGCCCCUGCGGCACCUGAGGCGCCUGUGGACCCUGCGGGCCCUGCGACCCCUGCU
Molecule: long non-coding RNA, 725 nt
Filed under: Cricetulus griseus (Chinese hamster)
Lineage: Eukaryota; Metazoa; Chordata; Mammalia; Rodentia; Cricetidae
Description: lncRNA (ENSCGRG00000024323.1)
Source: RNAcentral